CCUACGGGAGGCAGCAGUGAGGAAUAUUGGUCAAUGGCCGGAAGGCUGAACCAGCCAUGCCGCGUGAAGGUCAGUGCCCUAUGGGCGUUAAACUUCUUUUGUGCGGGAGCAAUAAUGGUCACGUGUGGCCAGACGAGAGUACCGUACGAAUAAGCAUCGGCUAACUCCGUGCCAGCAGCCGCGGGAAUACGGGGGAUGCAAGCGUUAUCCGGGUUUAUUGGGUUUAAAGGGUGCGUAGGCUGUGAGGUAAGUCAGCGGUGAAAUGCCCCCGCUCAACGGGGUGAAGUGCCAUUGAUACUGCCUGGCUGGAAUGCGGAUGCCGUGGGAGGAAUGUGUGGUGUAGCGGUGAAAUGCAUAGAUAUCACACAGAACACCGAUUGCGAAGGCAUCUCACGAAUCCGCGAUUGACGCUGAUGCACGAAAGCGUGGGUAUCAAACAGGAUUAGAUACCCCUGUAGUC
Molecule: ribosomal RNA, 460 nt
Filed under: uncultured bacterium
Lineage: Bacteria
Description: partial 16S ribosomal RNA
Rfam family: Bacterial small subunit ribosomal RNA
Source: RNAcentral